UGGAAUAUUCAAAGCCUGGGGUGGA
This 25-nucleotide non-coding RNA is filed under the name Rattus norvegicus (Norway rat). Lineage: Eukaryota; Metazoa; Chordata; Mammalia; Rodentia; Muridae. The record is from RNAcentral.